This 1753-nucleotide long non-coding RNA is filed under the name Sorghum bicolor (sorghum). RNAcentral's name for it is "long non-coding RNA (SBIC_LNC013354)". Lineage: Eukaryota; Viridiplantae; Streptophyta; Magnoliopsida; Poales; Poaceae. The record is from RNAcentral.
GGCCUUGUUUAGUUGGCAAAAUUUUAGGUUUUUGGCUACUGUAGCACUUUCGUUUUUAUUUGACAAACAUUGUCCAAUUACGGAGUAACUAGGCUCAAAAGAUUCAUCUCAUAAAUUUCAGGUAAACUGUGUAAUUAGUUUUUAUUUUUAUUUUUAUUUAAUGCUCCAUGCAUGCGACCAAAGAUUCGAUGUGACGGGGAAUCUUGAAAAUUUUUGCGAACUAAACAAGGCCUAAAUAAAGCUAAGGGACCUCACUCUUACGUAGAGCGGGCACGGAUUUUGACCAUUGAACCAUAUCCAUGUGUGUAACUAUUCCUUCACAAAGCAUGUUAUUGUAACUAAUGAUACUAUAAAAUUAGCAAUACAAUUUUUAAAUUACAAGGUCAAACACAUACAUAAGCAUACUCGCUCUCACAUUAGACCAUUGAAAGGACUGAAUGCCCAAGAGGAUUGAAUUGAGCUCUAAAAAGUCUGACUGCAGCAAUCUUAACCUACGCAAUUCUACUCACCCACUUGCAUGGUUAGCUUCUUGAACUAAAAAGAUCACACUAAUAACCUCGUUAAUAGUACGAUCAAAGAUAUAAACAAAGACAUAUACACACUACUAAGCCCCAUGCUUGCAGUUCACCUUAUAGUGUUCUUAACCUCUGUGAAUAUCCUUAUAUUCAUAUUAAAAUUUAUCAUCAUUGCCAAGAAUAUAUCAUGUGUCAGUAUGACCGAUCCAAAGUGAAUAUUCCUGCAAAACACAUCUUGUUAAGGCAAAACUGCUAAAGUAGAGAAUGUAUAAAAAAUUGUAGACCAAGCCACACAAAGAAAUACUCAAGACUUCGCCCCUCAAACACCCAUAUUUUUCAAAAGAAAAGAGGGAUGUGUAUCCCUCAUGUGCCUGAAUUUUUUUUCAGGCGAUCGAUCUCAGCGAUUGGAUCUUGAUCCAAUGCCCCAGCCGACAGCGUCUAUUCAUCUUUUUCCUUGCAUCAUCGUCUUCCAUCCCAUCUCCUUCACCCUGUUCUCGGACAACCCUACCUCCUGCCUGCCUCCUCCAGCCUAGGCGGCGUCCCUGCCGCCAAAUCACCGGCCGCUGCCUACCUCCUCCAGUUUUGAAACGCUCCCGCCUCCUGUCCACUGAGGUUGCUGGUCGUUGGCCCCUACCGCCGAGGCUUCGGGUCGCUGCCGCCUACCACCGAGGCUUCCGGUAACUGCCCCCUUCCGCGCUAAAUACAAGGAAAACACUGAAGUUCGCCACCGUCACCCUUUCCCUAACUCUUGCCAUCCGGUUGCCCAGCCCCGUCCGUUCAGCGGCCAACCAACCACCACCGUCGUGUCUACCUGCCUUCCAAACCCUUCCUUCCAAACACAAGGAAGAAGAAGUCGUCCCUUGAGAUUUCCUGCCUCUAUGUGUCCACACACAUAGUUUUUUAUUAUUACAUACAAAAUAUUUGUUUCCGCUAGAAUUUCUCUUUCUUCAAUCUAAACAUUUCACAUCUAAUAGAUUACCACCCCUUUAACGUUAUUUAUUUCUUUACUAUAGAAAAAGAUAUCUAGAACAGUUUUUUUUUUGAAUUCAGAAGUCUAGAACAGUUUUUUUUUGUUUUGACUACUAGAGUAUUUUUUGAACAAUGAAACUCUAACAGAAAUCGCUUCUCCCUUUUAUUAAAGGAAAGUUACAAAAAUCACGUGGGCCCAGGGCACAAAUUUUUCAAACGGAUGUCAGCAUUGAGCAGAGCGGUUGGUUAUAUAUACGUCCAAUUCCCUA